RNAcentral lists this ribosomal RNA (396 nucleotides) under uncultured Alphaproteobacteria bacterium. RNAcentral's name for it is "bacterial SSU rRNA". It matches the Rfam family "Bacterial small subunit ribosomal RNA", at positions 9 to 430 of the family's 1533-position model. The record is from RNAcentral. Lineage: Bacteria; Pseudomonadati; Pseudomonadota; Alphaproteobacteria.
GAGUUUGAUCCUGGCUCAGAACGAACGCUGGCGGCAGGCUUAACACAUGCAAGUCGAACGCGUGUGGCAAUACACGAGUGGCGCACGGGUGAGUAACGCGUGGAUAUCUGCCUUUUGGUUCGGAAUAACCUUGGGAAACCGAGGCUAAUACCGGAUGGUUCCUACGGGAUAAAGAUUUAUCGCCAAAAAGAUGAGUCCGCGUCCGAUUAGCUAGUUGGUGAGGUAACGGCUCACCAAGGCGACGAUCGGUAGCUGGUCUGAGAGGACGAUCAGCCACACUGGGACUGAGACACGGCCCAGACUCCUACGGGAGGCAGCAGUGGGGAAUAUUGGACAAUGGGGGCAACCCUGAUCCAGCCAUGCCGCGUGAGUGAUGAAGGCCUUCGGGUUGUAAAG